CCUACGGGAGGCAGCAGUGGGGAAUAUUGCGCAAUGGGGGAAACCCUGACGCAGCAACGCCGCGUGAAGGAAGAAGGCUUUCGGGUCGUAAACUUUUGUCUUCUGGGAAGAAUAAAUGACGGUACCAGAGGAGGAAGCCACGGUUAACUACGUGCCAGCAGCCGCGGUAAUACGUAGGUGGCGAGCGUUGUCCGGAUUUACUGGGUGUAAAGGGUGCGUAGGCGGGUAUGCAAGUCAGAUGUGAAAUACCGGGGCUCAACUCCGGGGCUGCAUUUGAAACUGCAUAUCUUGAGUGCAGGAGAGGAAAGUGGAAUUCCUAGUGUAGCGGUGAAAUGCGUAGAGAUUAGGAGGAACACCAGUGGCGAAGGCGACUUUCUGGACUGUAACUGACGCUGAGGCACGAAAGUGUGGGGAGCGAACAGGAUUAGAUACCCUGGUAGUCCACACUGUAAACGAUGGAUACUAGGUGUAGGGGGUAUCGACCCCUUCUGUGCCGGAGUUAACACAAUAAGUAUCCCACCUGGGGAGUACGGCCGCAAGGUUGAAACUCAAAGGAAUUGACGG
RNAcentral lists this ribosomal RNA (564 nucleotides) under uncultured Bacillota bacterium. RNAcentral describes it as "bacterial SSU rRNA". It matches the Rfam family "Bacterial small subunit ribosomal RNA", at positions 338 to 916 of the family's 1533-position model. Lineage: Bacteria; Bacillati; Bacillota. The record is from RNAcentral.